This 199-nucleotide ribosomal RNA is filed under the name uncultured bacterium. Its description in RNAcentral is "partial 16S ribosomal RNA". It matches the Rfam family "Bacterial small subunit ribosomal RNA", at positions 328 to 539 of the family's 1533-position model. The record is from RNAcentral.
ACGCUCGACACCUACGGGGGGCAGCAGUGGGGAAUAUUGCACAAUGGGGGAAACCCGUGAUGCAGCGACGCCGCGUGAGCGAAGAAGUAUUUCGGUAUGUAAAGCUCUAUCAGCAGGGAAGAUGAUGACGGUACCUGACUAAGAAGCCCCGGCUAACUACGUGCCCGCAGCCGCGGUAAUCUGAGCGGGCUGGCAAGGC